Oncorhynchus tshawytscha (Chinook salmon) is the source of this 594-nucleotide long non-coding RNA. NCBI's taxonomy places the organism in Eukaryota, Metazoa, Chordata, Actinopteri, Salmoniformes, Salmonidae. The record is from Ensembl.
GUGAGAGGUUAGCAUGUUUUGUUGUAGUCUCUGUUAUUGGUAAUGGUGAGAGGUUAGCAUGUUUUGUUGUAGUCUCUGUUAUUGGUAAUGGUGAGAGGUUAGCAUGUUUUGUUGUAGCCUCUGUUAUUGGUAAUGGUGAGAGGUUAGCAUGUUUUGUUGUAGUCUCUGUUAUUGGUAAUGGUGAGAGGUUAGUAUGUUUUGUUGUAGUCUCUGUUAUUGGUAAUGGUGAGAGGUUAGUAUGUUUUGUUGUAGUCUCUGUUAUUGGUAAUGGUGAGAGGUUAGUAUGUUUUGUUGUAGUCUCUGUUAUUGGUAAUGGUGAGAGGUUAGCAUGUUUUGUUGUAGCCUCUGUUAUUGGUAAUGGUGAGAGGUUAGCAUGUUUUGUUGUAGUCUCUGUUAUUGGUAAUGGUGAGAGGUUAGUAUGUUUUGUUGUAGUCUCUGUUAUUGGUAAUGGUGAGAGGUUAGCAUGUUUUGUUGUAGUCUCUGUUAUUGGUAAUGGUGAGAGGUUAGCAUGUUUUGUUGUAGACUCUGUUAUUUAUUAUCUAGAUCUUUUUUAAUCAUGGCAUCCUCAAAUCAAAUCAAAUCAAAUUUUAUUUG